RNAcentral lists this small RNA (2638 nucleotides) under Pan troglodytes (chimpanzee). Its description in RNAcentral is "retained intron". Lineage: Eukaryota; Metazoa; Chordata; Mammalia; Primates; Hominidae. The record is from RNAcentral.
AGCCCAGACAGCAGCCAGCCAGUGGCGUUCCUGGCUCCUCGGGAUUUUCCUUUUCCUCUGAAGCUGCUGAUUCAUCCCCAGGCUGGAGUCAGGCUCAGCUGUGGGGCUGGGAGCAUGGGCUCUCAGGCUGCUGCUGGGUGGAGGAACUGGGCCUCUUGGGAGGUGUCCUCCAGCCUCUCUGGAUGCUCCAUGGGUGGGGGUCGGGAGUGGUGAGGGAAGGGUGGCGCAUCUCAGAGCCCUCGCAAAUUUCUGGCCAGAAAUGUGGGGGUGUGGGCACAGCUUGGCCAAGGCCAUGCUGCAAGGGCCAGGGUGGCCGUCCUUCCUCACUCCUGUCUGGCCUCCCUCUGCAGGGUGCUUCAAGGAUGACCGCAUCGUCUUCUGGACUUGGAUGUUCUCCACCUACUUCAUGGAGAAAUGGGCUCCCCGGCAGGACGACAUGCUUUUCUAUGUGCGCCGGAAGCUGGCGUACUCCGGCAGCGAAAGCGGUGCAGACGGGAGGAAGGCAGCUGAGCCCGAGGUGGAGGUGGAGGUGUACCGGCGGGACUCCAAGAAGCUGCCGGGCCUGGGAGACCCUGACAUCGACUGGGAGGAGAGCGUCUGCCUGAAUCUCAUCCUGCAGAAGCUGGACUACAUGGUGACCUGUGCGGUGUGCACACGUGCUGACGGCGGGGACAUUCACAUCCAUAAGAAGAAAUCUCAGCAAGUGUUCGCGUCCCCCAGUAAACACCCCAUGGACAGCAAGGGGGAGGAGUCCAAGAUCAGCUACCCCAACAUCUUCUUCAUGAUUGACAGCUUCGAGGAGGUGUUCAGCGACAUGACUGUAGGGGAAGGAGAGAUGGUCUGUGUGGAGCUGGUGGCUAGUGACAAAACCAACACGUUCCAGGGGGUCAUCUUUCAGGGCUCCAUCCGCUACGAGGCGCUCAAGAAGGUGUAUGACAACCGGGUGAGCGUGGCCGCCCGCAUGGCACAGAAGAUGUCGUUUGGCUUCUACAAGUACAGCAACAUGGAGUUUGUGCGCAUGAAGGGCCCCCAGGGCAAGGGCCACGCCGAGAUGGCGGUCAGCCGAGUGUCUACAGGUGACACAUCCCCCUGUGGGACUGAAGAGGACUCCAGCCCAGCUUCGCCCAUGCACGAGCGGGUGACCUCCUUCAGCACACCCCCCACCCCAGAACGGAACAACCGGCCCGCCUUCUUCUCCCCAUCCCUCAAGAGGAAGGUGCCCCGGAACCGGAUCGCUGAGAUGAAGAAGUCGCACUCGGCCAACGACAGUGAGGAGUUCUUCCGGGAGGACAACGGUGGAGCCGAUCUGCACAACGCAACCAACCUGCGGUCUCGGUCCCUGUCGGGCACAGGACGGUCCCUGGUCGGGUCCUGGCUGAAGCUGAACAGAGCAGAUGGAAACUUCCUUCUCUAUGCACACUUAACCUACGUCACGUUGCCGCUGCAUCGGAUUUUAACAGACAUCCUGGAAGUUCGGCAGAAGCCCAUCCUGAUGACCUAGCCGCGUGCGGAGCCUGUGCAGAGCCCCGGCCGGGCCCAGCCCUGGGAGUGCUGCCAAGUGCCUACCUGUCCACCGCCACCGGGGUCUGCUGUGACACGCCAGUGCUGGAGCCGCAGCCAGGCGAGGCCACUCGACUCCCGGGGCCGGGGCCGACUCCACGAACACCAGCCCAAACUGAAGUGCCUCUUCCCUCCCCUGCUGGCUCUGCUCCGCCCUGUGCCCCCACACCCAUCGCCCCCCACCCAUCUCUGGAGAGCCCUCUGCACCCAAAGAGGACUAGAGAUGCCGAGCGGCCAUGAGAGAGCGGAAGGAGCAGCUGAUGCCCAGAGCGGGGCCAGAGCGGCGGGUCCAUGUUCACGUUCCCCCAGCAGCAGGCGGAACCACCCAGCCAGGGCACUCGGCGCAUCAGACUGUCCACACGUUCUUGAGGAAAGCCGGUGGAAGAUUCUGGAAUGCCGUGCGGAUGAACUUCAGCACCCGAGUCAGUCCCAGCUCAUCCUCCCCAGUUUACCACUUUGUUCUAAUAGGAGAUGGAAACACAAGAAGUUUGAUGGCUUUGCCCUGGGCUGGGAAUACCUCACCCACGCCCAGUUCCAGAAAGGCCUCCAGCUGAGCAGAUGGCCCCGAUCCCGCCAGAACGGCCUUUUGCUUCCAGCCAAAGAACACCGCCAACACACACACCUCCAACCUGGGACAUCCCACGCUGGGCCUCGCACGGAGGAACCUGCAGAAUUUGGAUUCUGAGGGUAGUCGGGAGGCCUCGGUAGCCAGGCAGAACAGGAUAUCUGCCAAAGGGUGUCUGAUGUGGGGUGGGGCUGGCAUCCUCCCAGGAAGGUUCUAGGUGGGACCCCGUCUUCUGGGGGCGGGGGUGUCUUUUCAUCUUCCCUGGUUUCCUAGAACUCACUUCCUUUGACGGCGUGUGUUGGUCCCAUCUCUCAGACCAGCUCACUGAGGCAGAGGAGUUGCUCAGAGGCUCACAUGGGCACACCCAUUGGUUCGUGUGAGCAGCUGCCCAGCCCCAGGCCUGCCCUCGGCCUGGUCCAGCAUGAAGGCGUUUCCAUCUGCAAGGAUGCACGGUACCCUCCCCGAGAGCAGGCCUGUCCCCUACCCAACUGGGAAUAAACUGGAAGCUGGGUC